RNAcentral lists this ribosomal RNA (372 nucleotides) under Triticum aestivum (bread wheat). Its description in RNAcentral is "partial small subunit ribosomal RNA". Lineage: Eukaryota; Viridiplantae; Streptophyta; Magnoliopsida; Poales; Poaceae. The record is from RNAcentral.
AUUGCAGGGAAUAGAUGUGAAAUGCUCAACUUAGGAGGGAGCAUAGACAAGGAAUCUGAAGUUGGAAAGAAACAACUGGAUAUCAAAGCAAAAGUAUCACGUCUCCUCUUAGAAAUCAGCUAAUGUAAGCGGACCCUUUAGCAGGAGAGCAACACAACUGCUAGCUUCCCUGCGGCAGUACAGGAGAUGGAUACGAAGUCCGUGGAGUCAGAAUACAAAGCUCUACUAGGUGAUGGAGCUGGAGAAGUUGAGUACUUCCAGUCUCUUGACGAACGAAUCAUUAAAUGAAGGGGAGUUUCUGAUCCUAUUAAAUGUCAUUGCGGACUGGAGUACAAUGUAGAACUAGGCAGGGAUGCCAUGGGUGCAAGAUGA